Cloeon dipterum is the source of this 402-nucleotide long non-coding RNA. RefSeq lists it as uncharacterized. The record is from RefSeq and is a predicted model, not a curated record. NCBI's taxonomy places the organism in Eukaryota, Metazoa, Arthropoda, Insecta, Ephemeroptera, Baetidae. The transcript has 5 exons.
GAUAACACGGUAAACACUCAGAGCGUGCUGAGAUAUUUGGAGGAUCAAGUAAAAGACGAGAACGUGCUGCAGGAAGGUUACAAAGUCACGGAGCAAUGCAUACAUUUUAAUGAGACGAGGCUUUGUGAAUUUACGUAUUUGGUUUUGAAGUGCAUUAUGACGAACGCGUACCAGCUUGUGCAGCGUUUGAUGGCCAACGCCAUCAGUGACCCUGUCAAGAUCCCACCGCCGAUUUUGUGUCUUCCGAACUACCAGUUUUGCAAUGAGACCUUCAACUGCGUUCUAAAUAAUUCACUAACGAGCCAGCUAACUGCUUCAGGGAAAAUGGAUAUCGGAGACCUGGUCACUUUGCCAAGCAACAAAGCGUAUUUCAUCGGCAAGAGGCUUCCUCUCAACUUUGUU